GAGGGUAUAGCUCAGGGGGAGAGUGCGUGCUUAACACAUAUGAGGUCCUGGGUUCAAUCCCCAGUACUUCCA
RNAcentral lists this transfer RNA (72 nucleotides) under Camelus bactrianus (Bactrian camel). It matches the Rfam family "tRNA". From Rfam's summary of the family: Transfer RNA (tRNA) molecules are approximately 80 nucleotides in length. Their secondary structure includes four short double-helical elements and three loops (D, anti-codon, and T loops). Further hydrogen bonds mediate the characteristic L-shaped molecular structure. tRNAs have two regions of fundamental functional importance: the anti-codon, which is responsible for specific mRNA codon recognition, and the 3' end, to which the tRNAs corresponding amino acid is attached (by aminoacyl-tRNA synthetases). tRNAs cope with the degeneracy of the genetic code in two manners: having more than one tRNA (with a specific anti-codon) for a particular amino acid; and 'wobble' base-pairing, i.e. permitting non-standard base-pairing at the 3rd anti-codon position. The record is from Rfam by way of RNAcentral. RNAcentral also lists the same sequence under 3 other names. Lineage: Eukaryota; Metazoa; Chordata; Mammalia; Artiodactyla; Camelidae.